CCACACACUCCACCAUUUUCAUCCUUUGGAAGCUUGUUUGAAAGCUAGGAGUUGUGAGCUUCCUCUUCUAAGGUACUAAAAUGAGGUGGUGAAGGAAGAUACUCAUUGGAUUGGCAAAGUGAAAAUAUGGAUUAGAUAUAGCACACUCUUUAAUUUCAAAUAUUAUAGGGUUAUGGAAGAAGGAAACGGUGGAAAAAAAAUUUUAUGCAAAGGACAAGCAUGAUUUGUCUAGUUUUGGCUGGAGAAAGGCAAGCUCCAUGAGUAUCUUGUGUGCACACAUUAUUUUGAUGUUGACGAGGGGAAAGAAGAUAAUCAAGUAUCAC
This is a long non-coding RNA of Trifolium pratense (red clover), 323 nucleotides long. RefSeq lists it as uncharacterized. Lineage: Eukaryota; Viridiplantae; Streptophyta; Magnoliopsida; Fabales; Fabaceae. The transcript has 4 exons. The record is from RefSeq and is a predicted model, not a curated record.